RNAcentral lists this ribosomal RNA (497 nucleotides) under uncultured bacterium. RNAcentral's name for it is "partial 16S ribosomal RNA". It matches the Rfam family "Bacterial small subunit ribosomal RNA", at positions 28 to 507 of the family's 1533-position model. The record is from RNAcentral.
GAUGAACGCUGGCGGCGUGCCUAAUACAUGCAAGUCGAGCGAACAGACGAGGAGCUUGCUCCUCUGACGUUAGCGGCGGACGGGUGAGUAACACGUGGAUAACCUACCUAUAAGACUGGGAUAACUUCGGGAAACCGGAGCUAAUACCGGAUAAUAUAUUGAACCGCAUGGUUCAAUAGUGAAAGACGGUUUUGCUGUCACUUAUAGAUGGAUCCGCGCCGCAUUAGCUAGUUGGUAAGGUAACGGCUUACCAAGGCAACGACGCGUAGCCGACCUGAGAGGGUGAUCGGCCACACUGGAACUGAGACACGGUCCAGACUCCUACGGGAGGCAGCAGUAGGGAAUCUUCCGCAAAGGGCGAAAGCCUGACGGAGCAACGCCGCGUGAGUGAUGAAGGUCUUCGGAUCGUAAAACUCUGUUAUUAGGGAAGAACAAAUGUGUAAGUAACUAUGCACGUCUUGACGGUACCUAAUCAGAAAGCCACGGCUAACUACGUG